CUAGCCGUAAACGAUGGAUACUAGGCGUUGUGAGUAUCGACCCUCACAGUGUCGUAGCUAACGCGUUAAGUAUCCCGCCUGGGGAGUACGCGCGCAAGCGUGAAACUCAAAGGAAUUGACGGGGGCCCGCACAAGCGGUGGAGUAUGUGGUUUAAUUCGAUGCAACGCGAAGAACCUUACCAGGACUUGGCGUGUCGCGAAUCUCAGGGAAACUUGAGAGUGCCUUCGGGAGCGCGAACACAGGUGGUGC
Molecule: ribosomal RNA, 250 nt
Filed under: uncultured Chroococcidiopsis sp.
Lineage: Bacteria; Bacillati; Cyanobacteriota; Cyanophyceae; Chroococcidiopsidales; Chroococcidiopsidaceae
Description: partial 16S ribosomal RNA
Rfam family: Bacterial small subunit ribosomal RNA
Source: RNAcentral